RNAcentral lists this ribosomal RNA (472 nucleotides) under uncultured bacterium. RNAcentral's name for it is "bacterial SSU rRNA". It matches the Rfam family "Bacterial small subunit ribosomal RNA", at positions 328 to 792 of the family's 1533-position model. The record is from RNAcentral.
GCCCCAGACUCCUACGGGAGGCAGCAGUUAGGAAUAUUCGUCAAUGGGGGAAACCCUGAACGAGCAAUGCCGCGUGAGUGAUGAAGGCCCUCUGGGUUGUAAAACUCUGUUGUUUGGAAAGAAUUGUGAGAUUAGGAAAUGAGUCUUACUUGACGGUACCAUUCAAGAAAGCCACGGCUAACUACGUGCCAGCAGCCGCGGUAAUACGUAGGUGGCGAGCGUUAUCCGGAUUUAUUGGGCGUAAAGCGUGCGCAGGCGGUUUGUUAAGUCUAAAAUCAAAGCCCGAAGCUUAACUUCGGUUCGUUUUAGAAACUGGCAGGCUUGAGUAUGGUAGAGGCAAACGGAAUUUCUAGUGUAGCGGUAAAAUGCGUAGAUAUUAGAAGGAACACCAGUGGCGAAGGCGGUUUGCUGGGCCAUUACUGACGCUCAUGCACGAAAGCGUGGGGAGCAAAUAGGAUUAGAUACCCGAGUA